This 316-nucleotide ribosomal RNA is filed under the name uncultured bacterium. Its description in RNAcentral is "bacterial SSU rRNA". It matches the Rfam family "Bacterial small subunit ribosomal RNA", at positions 196 to 507 of the family's 1533-position model. The record is from RNAcentral.
GGAUAGGAAAGCCGGGUCGAGGACCUGGUACUCAAGGAGGGGCUCAUGUCCUAUCAGCUUGUUGGUGGGUAACGGCCUACCAAGGCUACGACGGGUAGCUGGUCUGAGAGGAUGAUCAGCCACACUGGCACUGAGAUACGGGCCAGACUCCUACGGGAGGCAGCAGUGAGGAAUAUUGCGCAAUGGGCGAAAGCCUGACGCAGCGACGCCGCGUGGGGGAUGAAGGUUUUCGGAUUGUAAACCCCUUUCAUGAGGAAAGAUAAAGUGGGUAACCACUUAGACGGUACCUCAAGAAGAAGCCACGGCUAACUUCGUG